Astatotilapia calliptera (eastern happy) is the source of this 2837-nucleotide long non-coding RNA. NCBI's taxonomy places the organism in Eukaryota, Metazoa, Chordata, Actinopteri, Cichliformes, Cichlidae. The record is from Ensembl.
UGAAAUAUCCACUGUGAAAUAUCUUUAUUUAUGCACUAAUGAAAGAUGGACUUAGUCCAGUAAACACAAUAACAUGUUCAUCAUCAUCACAGGGGAUAUGUACAAAACAACAAACGUUGCAGCACUGAAACCAGGAGUUUUUCCCCCUCUUUGGUCAAGAGGGCAAUGUAAAAAACUAAGACUUCAGAAUAAACAAGAGCUAUUUUCUUUAAAAGAAGCUGUAACACCAAGUUGAAUAACUGACUAUAGUCAUACAGAUUGUUAAUAAAUGGCAAAUUAGGUCAGUACCCAAGACAUAAUUUGGAGAAUACUAAUUUGACAGCAUUAAUUAGCACUUAGUGAGAGGUUAGUAAUACGAUGCUCCCUCUUUUGUGUUUUUUCUCAAAAACAUUUUUUUAAUUAACUAAAAACUUUUUAACAUUUUACUGGAAAAAUGGAAACUAACUUGACUCUUUAUUAACAAUUCUCUGUCGAUGAGAGUAUGGACCAUACAGGUAAGAGUAUUUUCGCUCUUUAGAUAUUUAUUAUAAAUUUACUGAUUUGGAUCUUGCUCACUGUGUAGUAUCAUUACAGCAUGUCCACGAAUCAUCAUUCCCCACCUUUUAACAUUAAAUACUUUGCUGUUACAUGACAUUGUCAUGCUUGUGUUACCUCAAACGUGGCAACUGAUAGUUAUUGCUUACAGCAUCCAAUCAAUCUCAGAACAGCCACCAUCUAACCAUUAGAUUAUUAUUUGCCAUUUACUAACACUGUUGUGGUGAAAUUCCAACUAGAUUUUCAGUAUAUCCUUCAGUAUAUUCUUUGUACAUCAAAAUAAAACGCAUGUUUUGUACACUUUGAUUCACUUUGAUAACUGUGUGCACAUUGACUGGAAUGAUUGGUAUGCUUUAAUAUGAACUGUUUAAAUACAAAACAAAACUGAGUAAUUCAGCAUUGAAUCUGGGAUAAUAUACAGUUACCAGCUAAUGCUAAUUGGUGCACUGUAAUGACGGGGCUGAACUUCAGGGAAUCAUACAUACUUAUUAGUGAUCACUUAAUCAACUAAUGGACCGUCAAAGGCAGAGGAGUCAAGAAUAGAUCCAACCUGGCUUUCGUGUUCCGCUCCAUGCAGGUUUUAAGUUAAAACAAGACACCCAAAGAGCUCAUAUGUUUUUUUUACUUUCAAGGUAAGCAUUUAAAACCUCAACCAAGUAUCCCCCUGAUGCCCUGCUUAAUCUCAGCAUUAUAAAAAAUACAUGCUCCCUUCUGAAAAAUCGGCAGUAUUGAGCUGCAGUUGGAUCGUGCAGAUAUAUUAACACUGGUCUGAUUUUUCUCUGCAGAGGCGUUUACUUAUCGUAGCUGUCUUCAUGUUCUCAGUAAGUACAACUAUACAACAAAUGCCACUAAACUCACACACACACACACACACACACACACACACACACACACACACACACACACACACACACACACACACAUAUAUAUACUGUAUCUGAUCAACUAGAUAGAAUGCACUUUGUCAUGAAGUAACAAUAAAACUCAAUACUUUGACAAAACAAAUUAUUUUGUAUUCCUACACAACAUCAAAUACAGUUUAAGGCAAAAAUCAACAAUUCUAAAAGUAAAACAACCCAAAAUUCAAAAACAUACAUCGAAAAUAUUUCUAUUUACAAUAUUUGCUCAUAGAAAAAUAUGUUCAACUUGCACAGAUUUUUAAACAUGACCACAAUAAGACUCAAUUCAACCUCAAGUGCACAAGACGGCAUCUGAUUUUAUCACAAAUCUAUUGGUUCCAGGGCAGCUGUAAUAAAUGGACACAAGGGCAUCCUGGUAGAACCGACAGGGAUUGUGUCUAUUAUACAAUUCUGCGAGCUACACAGCUAACAUUGUAUUGAAAUAUUGGGAUUAAAUAUUUCAGAGAGAACUUGGUUUAAUUUUUACACUUUCAGAUACAAGAAUGAGACUCAGCACAGCACAAUGUGUGCACUUAUCAACUGAAGUGGCUGUGCCACGAGCAUUUGUUGUGGUUGGCUGGAGCCACACAUGUUGUCUCUAACUAACUCUAAUCUGACAUUGCCUAACAGCUGGGGGAUGGCCAGCGGUUGUGGCCCAUUUGUGUUCUGCAGUGACCUCUACUUGCAAAGCAGUUACAGACUUUAUAAGUCAGUUAGUUAAACCAACGCACCAUGUUUUUUGUUUGAAUGUUUGAAAAUAAGAGGACAUAUUUAAAGUUUUUUUUAUUCAGAUAUAACAACUUCUAUACAUAAUAAUUUAUAUAAUCUUGUCACUUUUAGCACUUAUUACCAUGAUUACUAAGUCUGCAUGUCUUGUAUAGUUUGAUGCUAUCCAAAGUGAGAAUGACACAGUGUAAAUGAUAAAACACGUUUGAGAUAAAAGUUAUUUUUCCAUGUUCUUUGUCGUGUUACUUUUUAGUGACAUGAAGAAGCAAUGUUGAAAUAUUUAAGCAGCAAAUAUUUAACUAGUUAAAAUUCUGAAUUUGACUGCGAAGAGUGUGGAGGUAUUUAAACCCUGAAAAAGUGCACUGCAACUAUCAGUCAACUACCAAUCAAUACUUGCCAUGCUAAUUAUGCUUUCACUGUAAUGAUUUAGGCAAACAUGUUUUGAUCACCUUUUCACGGCUGUGUCUAUCAAUCAGAAAACAUUUUCGGUAAAAUUAACACUUUUCUAUGAACUAUUUAUUCAGUCGUUCAGUAGUUACAGUAACCAACAAGCAGUGACAAGAAGUACAAAUACACCAAAAUGCAUCUCUUUGUUUCUGAAGCUCGAACUGCAGCUAAAUCGAGAGCCACUGCUGUGUAGUGCAAAUGCAACCUCGGGGGUCGAGCCGUGCACACCAC